AACAUAAACAGUAAAUGGAACUUCUUUAGCAGUGAGAUUGGACUGGGUGAUCUCCAGAGGUGCCUUCCAACCGCUGCGAUUCCAUGAUUCAGUGAUUACGAUUCUUUUCUCACCACUUAAACCAAAGAAACUGAAAAAGAAGAGUAAAAGACUGUUCAGUUCAACCAGAUUUUUAAUUAAAAAAGUCCUACAUAUAGAGAUGAGCAUUUUCGGCGUCUGUAAUACUGCUGAUCUGUUCUGUCUAAACCUAAGCUGUAUCUUUGAGAAGAGUCUUUGGCCAUUUGGUCCCUUUCAAAGGAAGACUUGAAGGUAUAAUAACACUGUAAUGCAUGUCUGAAUUUGUCCUGUGGCCUAUUCCUAAAAAUAAGAUUUUGAAUUAACUUCAAGCUUUCCUCCUCAAAUGGUGUGCUGCAUCAACUUUUGUUCAAAGGGUUUGUAUUUGACUGGAGCCUGUUGGAAUAAAGAGAAGGCACAGGGGCUCAUAAUCGUGUAUGCUCAUUGCCCAGGAAAGAUUCUUGGGUGACAACAGGUUCCUCAGCAGGAAAGGUAUAAAGAUAGUUUGCUCUGCACUGGCUAAGUGUUGAACCAACA
Molecule: long non-coding RNA, 591 nt
Organism: Gallus gallus (chicken)
Lineage: Eukaryota; Metazoa; Chordata; Aves; Galliformes; Phasianidae
Source: Ensembl